This 465-nucleotide ribosomal RNA is filed under the name Vreelandella stevensii. RNAcentral describes it as "partial 16S ribosomal RNA". It matches the Rfam family "Bacterial small subunit ribosomal RNA", at positions 338 to 795 of the family's 1533-position model. The record is from RNAcentral. Lineage: Bacteria; Pseudomonadati; Pseudomonadota; Gammaproteobacteria; Oceanospirillales; Halomonadaceae.
CCUACGGGAGGCUGCAGUGGGGAAUAUUGGACAAUGGGGGGAACCCUGAUCCAGCCAUGCCGCGUGUGUGAAGAAGGCCCUCGGGUUGUAAAGCACUUUCAGUGAGGAAGAACGCCUGGUGGUUAAUACCCAUCAGGAAAGACAUCACUCACAGAAGAAGCACCGGCUAACUCCGUGCCAGCAGCCGCGGUAAUACGGAGGGUGCGAGCGUUAAUCGGAAUUACUGGGCGUAAAGCGCGCGUAGGUGGCUUGAUAAGCCGGUUGUGAAAGCCCCGGGCUCAACCUGGGAACGGCAUCCGGAACUGUCAAGCUAGAGUGCAGGAGAGGAAGGUAGAAUUCCCGGUGUAGCGGUGAAAUGCGUAGCGGUCGGGAGGAAUACCAGUGGCGAAGGCGGCCGUCUGGACUGACACUGACACUGAGGUGCGAAAGCGUGGGUAGCAAACAGGAUUAGAUACCCCUGUAGUC